GACCUCAAAUCAGGUAGGAUUACCCGCCGAACUUAAGCAUAUCAA
RNAcentral lists this ribosomal RNA (45 nucleotides) under Tropicoporus linteus. RNAcentral describes it as "partial 28S ribosomal RNA". The record is from RNAcentral. Lineage: Eukaryota; Fungi; Basidiomycota; Agaricomycetes; Hymenochaetales; Hymenochaetaceae.